UGCUCCUGCUGCUAUCAGUAGU
RNAcentral lists this microRNA (22 nucleotides) under Ptychodera flava. RNAcentral describes it as "Pfl-Mir-4838_3p (mature (guide))". Lineage: Eukaryota; Metazoa; Hemichordata; Enteropneusta; Ptychoderidae. The record is from RNAcentral.